GAUGAACGCUAGCUACAGGCUUAACACAUGCAAGUCGCGGGGCAGCAUGGGGGUUGCUUGCAAUCCCCGAUGGCGACCGGCGCACGGGUGAGUAACGCGUAUCCAACCUGCCCUUCACCACGGGAUAACCCGGCGAAAGUCGGACUAAUACCGUAUGUUGUCCAUUGACGGCAUCCGAUUUGGACGAAAGGUUUGGCGGUGAAGGAUGGGGAUGCGUCCGAUUAGCUGGACGGCGGGGUGACGGCCCACCGUGGCGACGAUCGGUAGGGGUUCUGAGAGGAAGGUCCCCCACACUGGAACUGAGACACGGUCCAGACUCCUACGGGAGGCAGCAGUGAGGAAUAUUGGUCAAUGGGCGUAAACCUGAACCAGCCAAGUAGCGUGCAGGAUGACGGCCCUAUGGGUUGUAAACUGCUUUUAUGCGGGGAUAAAGUGGCCCACGUGUGGGUUUUUGCAGGUACCGCAUGAAUAAGGACCGGCUAAUUCCGUG
This 490-nucleotide ribosomal RNA is filed under the name uncultured bacterium. RNAcentral describes it as "partial 16S ribosomal RNA". It matches the Rfam family "Bacterial small subunit ribosomal RNA", at positions 28 to 507 of the family's 1533-position model. The record is from RNAcentral.